UCGUACGCUUGCUGUGGACAUAUGAGGUGAAUGUGCGAGUCGAAUCCUCCUGCUGUGACGAUCUUGUGCUCGCCGGCAAUCACAUCUGUAGCAACGCCAACAAUCAUGUUUGGGUCGACGUUCGCCAUCACGUCUGGAUUGCCAGCCUUCCCGAUACCAGCGAUGAGUCCAUUCUUGAUACCGAUAUCGGCUUUGUAUAUGCCACUCCAGUCGACGAUCACCGCGUUGGUAAUGACCGUAUCCAAGCAUUCGCUGUCAGCACGACCCGAAGCCUGGCCCAUACCAUCACGA
This is a small RNA of 291 nucleotides. It matches the Rfam family "5' ureB small RNA". The record is from Rfam.